UGGGGGAUAUUGCACAAUGGGCGAAAGCCUGAUGCAGCGACGCCGCGUGGGGGAUGAAGGCUUUCGGGUUGUAAACCUCUUUCGCUAUCGAACAAGGCCCGCUUAGGGUGGGUUGAGGGUAGGUGGAGAAGAAGCGCCGGCUAACUACGUGCCAGCAGCCGCGGUAAUACGUAGGGCGCGAGCGUUGUCCGGAAUUAUUGGGCGUAAAGGGCUUGUAGGCGGCUUGUUGCGCCUGCUGUGAAAACGCGGGGCUUAACUUCGCGCGUGCAGUGGGUACGGGCAGGCUUGAGUGUGGUAGGGGUGACUGGAAUUCCAGGUGUAGCGGUGGAAUGCGCAGAUAUCUGGAGGAACACCGAUGGCGAAGGCAGGUCACUGGGCCAUUACCGACGCUGAGGAGCGAAAGCAUGGGUAGCGAACAGG
Molecule: ribosomal RNA, 420 nt
Filed under: bacterium
Lineage: Bacteria
Description: partial 16S ribosomal RNA
Rfam family: Bacterial small subunit ribosomal RNA
Source: RNAcentral